Molecule: ribosomal RNA, 337 nt
Filed under: uncultured Oscillospiraceae bacterium
Lineage: Bacteria; Bacillati; Bacillota; Clostridia; Eubacteriales; Oscillospiraceae
Description: bacterial SSU rRNA
Rfam family: Bacterial small subunit ribosomal RNA
Source: RNAcentral
AGUAGUUUGAUCAGUGGCUCAGGACGAACGCUGGCGGCGUGCCUAACACAUGCAAGUCGAACGGAGUGAUUUGGAUUCGUCUGGAUCACUUAGUGGCGGACGGGUGAGUAACGCGUGAGCAACCUGCCCUUCAGAGGGGGACAACAGUUGGAAACGACUGCUAAUACCGCAUAAUAUAUAUUUAAGGCAUCUUAGGUAUAUCAAAGAUUUUAUCGCUGAAGGAUGGGCUCGCGUCUGAUUAGAUAGUUGGUGGGGUAACGGCCUACCAAGUCGACGAUCAGUAGCCGGACUGAGAGGUUGAACGGCCACAUUGGGACUGAGAUACGGCCCAGACUCC